Molecule: long non-coding RNA, 1789 nt
Organism: Homo sapiens (human)
Lineage: Eukaryota; Metazoa; Chordata; Mammalia; Primates; Hominidae
Gene: HRAT17
Product: heart tissue-associated transcript 17
Source: Ensembl
ACCUACUAAUUUUACCCUCAGAGAAAGAGAGAGUCUUUGGAGAGUUGUGAGGAGAUAAGUGACAUAAACUGGCAUGUUCUGAAAGAAUCACUCUGGAUGCUGUGUGGAGAAAACACUGAAAAGGGGGAGAAUAAUUGACUCCAUUCAAGUGUUCGCUCCUGUUUCAAUCAACUAUGGCUGAAGAGUGAGGAGACAUUUGGAAUAAAUAUGGCUUCUGGGGGCCCAUUCCUAUGGAUCAGCAGCUGGCUUCUGGAGGCCCAUUCCUGUGAAUCGUCGAUCUCAUAGAAGAUAAUAUUGUUAGAAGGCUUACCUCAUUGAUGCUGAACAUCCUAAAAAGCUUCUGCUGCUUUGAGUCACUGAAAAAGACCAAGAAACAUGAAUUUAAAAAAAAAUUUCAAAUGUUAUAAAAUAAAUAAUAUGAACUCAUUAUACCUACAAUGAAUAAUUUAAAUUCUUCUUUGGUAGUCCAGGUAAAUAACUUCUCAAAUAGAUUUUUUUAAGCAUCUGUAUAAGUUCAAGAUGUACAUCACUUCAUGUAGAAUAACAUCUCCUAAAAAGAACUGAAAUGCCUCAGUAUACAACCAGCUGACCUGGCUAUCAAACACUUAUUUAGCACAUAUUACAUGAUGGACACUUUGAUGUAGAUACGGACCUUGGGUUGUGUCCUCAAGGAUCAUACAGUGGGUUGAGGAAAUAGGAUAUGCUAUCCAUAGGAAAGUAAAUAAUAAUAUGACAGCUUAUUUUCAAUGAGAAGUGAAUAGUACAAAGAAUAGGAGUUGCCAGAUUUCAAAAGGAAAGAGCUAUCACACAGAGGCGGAACAAUUAGAAAUUUUUCAUGAAGGAAGUGUUCUUUGUGCUGGACCUUUGAGAAAGUAUAGAAUGUAGAUUAGCAAAAAGGCAUGGAAAAGGCAUGAUAGGUAGGAGAGGCAAGUUAGGCAAAGGUCCAUUAGAAUUGCUCAAGAUAUAAUAGACCAACUUGGCCUGAAAAAGGCCUGGAAGUAUCCUCUUUUGUGCUCUGUGAGAAGUUUGCCACCAUGUAAAAAGUCUAACUACCCUAAGGCAACCAUGCUCUGAGAAGCCCAACCUAUCCAGGUGGAGAGGUCCUGUAGAGAAUUGAGGCCACUGGCCCUGAGCUCCCAGUUGAAAUAGACAAUAUCAACAUGUCAGCAGGGUGAAUGAGACCAUCUUGGAAGUGGGUCCUCCAAGAGUAGUUGAGCCAUCCUGCCUAAAUUUCAGCAUUUUGAGCAAAUAAAUGAUUUAUACCAUUUUAAAUCACUAUAUUUUUGAGUGAAUCACUGACUUUUUUCUCAAUUAAGCAUAGGUUUAGAAACUAUGAAAACCCUAGAAGAAAACCUAGGCAAUGCCAUUCAGGACAUAGGCACGGACAAAGAUUUCAUGACGAAGACGCCAAAAACAACUGCAACAAAAGCAAAAAUUGACAGAUGGGAUCUCAUUAAACUAAAGAGCUUCCAUACAGCAAAAGAAGCUACCAUGAGAGUGAACAGACAACCUAUAGAAAGGGAGAAAAAUUUUGCAAUCUGUUCAUCUGACAAAGGUCUAAUAUCCAGCAUCUACAAGGAACUUAAAUAAAUUUACAAGAAAAAAACAAACCCAUUAGAAAAUGGGCAAAGGACAUGAAAAGAUACUUCUCAAAAGACAUACAUGUGGCCAACAAUCAUACAAAAAAAACCUCAACAUCACUGAUGAUUAGAAAAAUGCUAAUCAAAACCACAACGAGAUACCAUCUCAUACCUGUCAGAAUGGCUAUUAAUAAAAAGUUAAAAAACAA